CAGAAAUGCACAUCAUCAUCUACAAGCAAACCUGAAUCCCUUCAGUGGAUUUAUUAACUGUUGUGUUCUAAAUUGGAAAUAAAGCAGAACCUGAGCAUUAAAUAAAUAAAUGAAAAUUGGACAGUGCAAGCCUGAGGAUACAAUGUUCCAGUAUUUGAAGAAGCCAAGAAAAACUCUUAUUAACUUCAACAAGCUCCAGAUCUGACCUUUGGCCUACGCUAUGCAAGCAAAACAAAAGUGAAAGUGAAGACCUGGUUCAUGGCUGUUCUAAAAAUGUGAACAUAAUAAGACUGCUCAGCCUGCUCGAGGCCAACGGAAUGGGAGUAUGGUAGUAAAAAUGUCACAUACUUUUGCAUGUGAUUACUGAUACAGAGGGUAUUAGCCUACAAAUGCUCACCAUCCUAGAAGAAAGUUUGGAUCCUGAGCAUUUUUCUAAACCGAAUGCAGAGGAUAUACAGCAUCAAUAAAGCACUGCACUGAUACUCUGAUAGCUCAGAUACUCUCUAGAGGAAAAGGAUUCAACCAAGUUUUCACGUAAGGCUGACACAAACCUGGAGAUGAAUCAGAUGGCAAAAUUAAAUCGACAGUGCUAAACUGGGGGAUCAGCUGACACAACAAAUAGCAAUCCAGAGGCACCUUCAGAAACUUGGGGAUUGGAUGGCCAGAAGUCUCCUUCAGCAAGUUUAAGGACCAAGAUCUGCACUUAAGACAGAACAAUCCCACACACUGGGAAAGGCUGAGAGCUGACUGGCUGAGGACCAGCCCUGCUGAAAACACCCAGGGGAUUACAGUGGAGGCCAAUUAAAACAUGAGCCAGCAGCGUGUUCUCAAUGCAAAUAAAUCAAACAGCAUUAUGGCUAUAUUAGGAACGUGGCCAGCAGAUCAAGUCUCUGCUUGAUGCCUGGCUUCCUAACAGAGCAUCCAAGUAGGACAUCCUUAUUAUAGACAAGCAUCUUUUUGUUCUACAGUGUUGGGCUCAGUCAUGGAUAAGAGAGGAUUCAUAUAGUUCAUGAUAGAAAUCAACUAAGCAGUUGUCAUUUAUUUCCUGUGUCCCUAUCUGGGUCAAAAGCAGCCUUCUACAAUCCGUUCACUUGUAAGUCUUGCAUGAGAAUCUAUUUUAAUGAAUUAGUGUUUAUAAAUCCCUCUGAAGAGGAAUCUUUUAAUGCUAGAGCCCAGGACUGUUAAUUUCACCCAUGGCCAGCGCGUCUACCUUUUCCCUCUAAUGCAUGGAAGGUCAGAUUUCUUCAGACCUGUGUCUGAUCCCAUGAUGCACUGAAGUGACUACAGCCUUUUGAGAAUGCAACUCCUAAUUCUCUGGUGCCACAAAUUCUUCAGCACACUGAAUAUCUGCAGCUUUUUUUUGGCUUCCACAGUUGUGAGUCACCGCAGCCCCCAAAACUCUAUGCAGACCUUUAACCAUUAAUUCUA
Non-coding RNA from Meleagris gallopavo (turkey), 1428 nucleotides. The record is from RefSeq and is a predicted model, not a curated record. NCBI's taxonomy places the organism in Eukaryota, Metazoa, Chordata, Aves, Galliformes, Phasianidae.